This 534-nucleotide ribosomal RNA is filed under the name uncultured bacterium. RNAcentral describes it as "bacterial SSU rRNA". It matches the Rfam family "Bacterial small subunit ribosomal RNA", at positions 8 to 525 of the family's 1533-position model. The record is from RNAcentral.
AGAGUUUGAUCCUGGCUCAGAAUGAACGCUGGCGGCGUGCCUAACACAUGCAAGUCGUACGAGAAAGGGGCUUCGGCCCUGAGUAGAGUGGCGCACGGGUGAGUAACGCGUGGGUAAUCUGCCCUUGGAUUUGGAAUAACUCCGCGAAAGUGGAGCUAAUACCGGAUAGUCUGGCUUUUUAACGAAGUCGGUAAAGGAUGCCUCUGCAUAUGCAUUCGUCCGAGGAUGAGCCCGCGUCUCAUUAGCUAGUUGGUAGGGUAAUGGCCUACCAAGGCAACGAUGAGUAGCUGGUCUGAGAGGAUGAUCAGCCACACUGGAACUGAAACACGGUCCAGACUCCUACGGGAGGCAGCAGUGGGGAAUAUUGCGCAAUGGGCGAAAGCCUGACGCAGCAACGCCGUGUGAGGGAUGAAGGCUUUCGGGUCGUAAACCUCUGUCGGAAGGGAAGAACGGGCAUUGGUCUAAUAGGCCUUUGUUUUGACGGUACCUUUAGAGGAAGCACCGGCUAACUCCGUGCCAGCAGCCGCGGUAAUA